UAGGGAAUCUUCCGCAAUGGGCGAAAGCCUGACGGAGCAACGCCGCGUGAGUGAUGAAGGUCUUCGGAUCGUAAAACUCUGUUAUUAGGGGAACAAAUGUGUAAGUAACUAUGCACGUCUUGACGGUACCUAAUCAGAAAGCCACGGCUAACUACGUGCCAGCAGCCGCGGUAAUACGUAGGUGGCAAGCGUUAUCCGGAAUUAUUGGGCGUAAAGCGCGCGUAGGCGGUUUUUUAAGUCUGAUGUGAAAGCCCACGGCUCAACCGUGGAGGGUCAUUGGAAACUGGAAAACUUGAGUGCAGAAGAGGAAAGUGGAAUUCCAUGUGUAGCGGUGAAAUGCGCAGAGAUAUGGAGGAACACCAGUGGCGAAGGCGACUUUCUGGUCUGUAACUGACGCUGAUGUGCGAAAGCGUGGGGAUCAAACAGG
This 427-nucleotide ribosomal RNA is filed under the name Actinomycetes bacterium. RNAcentral's name for it is "Actinobacteria bacterium partial 16S ribosomal RNA". It matches the Rfam family "Bacterial small subunit ribosomal RNA", at positions 355 to 776 of the family's 1533-position model. Lineage: Bacteria; Bacillati; Actinomycetota; Actinomycetes. The record is from RNAcentral.